AGCGGGACUUUUAAUAAACGAGUUGCAUUUGCUACAAUGAAUGGGUCCACAAUCGCACUGUUAGUACUCGUCAGAGUCAUCCUCUGUGUCUCCACCGUCACCAGCAACUACAACUGUUUCUCGUGGUGAGCGACAGGCCAUUGCUGGCGCUCAUAAAGGGUCCUGAUUGUUCUCAUUGUCCGAGGAGAUUGUCUCACGGUUGAUUUAGUCAUCAGCUAAAUAAAUAAAUAUUUUGAAAAUGAAGUCCGAGAAUGGGAAUAACGUCCUGGUCUCUAGAGGCAAUCAACUCUGGUAUGGCUUUCUGUGGGGAACAUCAUUGAGCGUACAACUCUGGUUCAUGCCAGCAUCACCUGGCCAAUGAUAACAGUGUUAGAUCCCCUAUCAAGGACAAGGGGGACUUUCUAAUUUUAGAACCAGCAUUUAUUAGCUCUUAAUGACUGCAGCUGGGACAAGGGCAACUAAACUUAGGGCGUGCUCGCUCCCAGUGUGGAGAAAGGAGACGUGACGUUGAAAGGGAAAGACACCCCAGUGGACACCCAACCCGAGCACGCAUCUCAGUUGAGACUUCGUUAUUUCUCCCUGGUCUGCUGAUGCCUUCUUUAUCAUGGUGGUAGACAUACCUUUCGUGAAGUCCAACGGUGGGACCUUGCCUUCUGAACAGCCAUCCCCUGAGGUGGUCACGCAUUUAUAGAGAAUACUACAAGUGGGGUGUGCACUUAAGUUCGCUAUUGAAACUUUCCCACAGAUACAUUCCCCAGAUGUGAAUCCAUGCCCCCUCCUUUCAUGCCCCAUCUUUCCAUGCAUGCUCCUUGUAUUAUUGGCUUCACUGUUCGGCCAUCAGAUCUGCUCUGGUUGGGGUAGGGGGUAGAGGACAGGAGGAUAUGAGGGGGGUGGGCUGGAAUUCAGAGUUCGGCUGGGCUACUGCUCUUUCGCUGUGGCAGAUAUAGCACUGAAUCUUUGAACCUAUCCUGGUGCAACUUUCCACACCCUCUCCCUCCACUGGCUGGGGAGAUCAGUGGACACCACUGUCCCUCUCCUCCCCCACGCUUCUCAGCAUAUGAUCAGAUUCUCUCCCCUGUUCCUUAGCCAGACUCUGGGGAAAGGAUUGUUUUGGCUGGAAUUUGACAAGGCACAGGUGGUUUCGCCAGCUGUAAGUUCUUUAGUUCUUGCUGGCUGCCCACCAACUCUUGGUCUUUUCACAGUCUUUUCUGCAGCGGCGGAGGAGGGGCAGGAAGGGACAGUAGGUCCUUGACGUUGUUGUUCAACAUCAGCAGCUGUCUCGGGUUGGCAUUGAAUCCAGAGUGUUCCUCAGGAAGGGUAGGGUUUUUUCCCCCCUCCUUUUCUCUUGAGAUUGGAGUAAUCAUCAAGGAGCAGCUCCCGGUGGAUAACACCAACUAUAUCUUGGUCAUUUGGGCAAGGGGCCCACGGGCAGCAUGAUUCCCUUGUGUAAACAUCCUCGUCCAGUUGUGCCCGGCUCUUGGGCUCAGCUCAGAAGGCCCUGCUCUCAGCCACCUCUCAGGGGGUUCAGGCUAGCUCUGGGCUGCAAGUCUCUUCACUGCUGCACUGGUUGGAAUCCAAUGACACCAUCUUUGUCUCCCAAAAGAGACAAAAAUAAUCCUCAGCUUCGUCUCUUAAAUGCUUCCUUUUUUUUAAAGAAAAAAAAACUUAAAACUUGAAAGGCCUUUUUCUCCUUCCUCUUCCUCUCUCAGCAUCUUUGUGACAGGGACCGGGAGAGUGUGCUGUUUGACCCCGAGGGCCAGUACCUCCACUCUUCUCCUCUUAGGUCCCUUUUAUUCUAAAACUGUUCACUUAACCCCUUUCCUUCAUCGGCUUCAAGCCUCCGCCAGGGUCUUCUUAGGCCUCCUUUCCUGUGAGGCACUUGCAAAGCUUGGGUCUGGUCUUUCCUUGAUGUGGGUGGGCGCUCACCUCCCCAUUAAUCUGAAUCUUGUGGAAGGGGAAGCUAAGUGGCCCUUUCUGGGUGGAUUCGUCUCUCCUUUCCUCUGAUCUUCUUUCUCCCUGCCCUCCCCCUCACUAAUGGCCUCUGCCCGUUAGCACCAGAGCAUGCUGGGAUCUUCCUGUUGUCAGCUGCUGGGAAGCAAGAACUAAGCUAGCAAAACCUUUGCAAGGGGUGGGGACAAGUCCCUGGGGGACCCCGUAGGAGUUUUUGUAGGCUCUGACCUCACUUUCAUGCCUCCUGCCCAUUUCCAGCUGCAGGACUGGCUGGCACCACUCUUGGACCCUGAUAGCGUGGCCUGAUGUUCUCCCGGGAUUCCCGCAUCCCAGCUGCCCCCUCACCCUCCACAGAGAAUCGCCAUCUUCCAUCUCAUGAUUACUCCAGCUCAUUGCCAGCCCGGCUUGAAAAUGGAGGCCAUAAGAGGCGCCUCUUGUCAACUUUGAUUUCUUUGAAGCCCAAACAGCCUAGGACAAGAGUAUUCGGGCUACGCCUGUCCAUUCCGUGAAGAAAUGGAUACAUCUUUCCUGUGUUUGCUUCAAGAGCCUAGCCAUGAUAGUCUUCAGCCAUAGCCUCUCCCCCCCCCCCCGUAAGAGCUUGCAUCCAGUCUGAAUGCUAAAUAAUGUUGUCACGAGGUUGCGUGGGCACUGGUUAAGAUCUAUGCCCAAACUAUAAUGAAUCUCUCUUCUACAUUACUGUUAUCGUGGCCAAAAUUGGUGAGCGGCCCAUCCUCAAGGGAGAGGUGGGAGGAGAGGAGGAUAUUGUGUUGGACUCUAUCCUGGACAUAUCUUCGGCUAGACUCCUGGAGCAGUUUAAAUCAAGAGCUGGGCCGAGCAGACUUGAAUGGCUUUCAAGUGACAGAUUUAUGGAGGCGGGCCUAAUUAGAUCAUGGUAAUUUGUAGUAUGACAAUAUCUUUUGCUCAAGAUCUCAAAGCAAAUUUCUGCCUUGAUAGGUGAAUUACACAAAGGCCCACAAAUAUUAAAGCAUUUUCUCACUAACACACACACACACACACACACACACACACACACACACACACUCCUUGGGCAGCCCCCAAUGAGAGCCAAGCU
Molecule: non-coding RNA, 3022 nt
Organism: Rattus norvegicus (Norway rat)
Lineage: Eukaryota; Metazoa; Chordata; Mammalia; Rodentia; Muridae
Source: RefSeq, a predicted model, not a curated record